Molecule: ribosomal RNA, 1965 nt
Filed under: human gut metagenome
Description: bacterial LSU rRNA
Rfam family: Bacterial large subunit ribosomal RNA
Source: RNAcentral
UUAAGCGACUAAGCGUACACGGUGGAUGCCCUGGCAGUCAGAGGCGAUGAAGGACGUGCUAAUCUGCGAUAAGCGUCGGUAAGGUGAUAUGAACCGUUAUAACCGGCGAUUUCCGAAUGGGGAAACCCAGUGUGUUUCGACACACUAUCAUUAACUGAAUCCAUAGGUUAAUGAGGCGAACCGGGGGAACUGAAACAUCUAAGUACCCCGAGGAAAAGAAAUCAACCGAGAUUCCCCCAGUAGCGGCGAGCGAACGGGGAGCAGCCCAGAGCCUGAAUCAGUGUGUGUGUUAGUGGAAGCGUCUGGAAAGGCGCGCGAUACAGGGUGACAGCCCCGUACACAAAAAUGCACAUACUGUGAGCUCGAUGAGUAGGGCGGGACACGUGGUAUCCUGUCUGAAUAUGGGGGGACCAUCCUCCAAGGCUAAAUACUCCUGACUGACCGAUAGUGAACCAGUACCGUGAGGGAAAGGCGAAAAGAACCCCGGCGAGGGGAGUGAAAAAGAACCUGAAACCGUGUACGUACAAGCAGUGGGAGCACAGAGCAAUCUGUGUGACUGCGUACCUUUUGUAUAAUGGGUCAGCGACUUAUAUUCUGUAGCAAGGUUAACCGAAUAGGGGAGCCGAAGGGAAACCGAGUCUUAACUGGGCGUUAAGUUGCAGGGUAUAGACCCGAAACCCGGUGAUCUAGCCAUGGGCAGGUUGAAGGUUGGGUAACACUAACUGGAGGACCGAACCGACUAAUGUUGAAAAAUUAGCGGAUGACUUGUGGCUGGGGGUGAAAGGCCAAUCAAACCGGGAGAUAGCUGGUUCUCCCCGAAAGCUAUUUAGGUAGCGCCUCGUGAAUUCAUCUCCGGGGGUAGAGCACUGUUUCGGCAAGGGGGUCAUCCCGACUUACCAACCCGAUGCAAACUGCGAAUACCGGAGAAUGUUAUCACGGGAGACACACGGCGGGUGCUAACGUCCGUCGUGAAGAGGGAAACAACCCAGACCGCCAGCUAAGGUCCCAAAGUCAUGGUUAAGUGGGAAACGAUGUGGGAAGGCCCAGACAGCCAGGAUGUUGGCUUAGAAGCAGCCAUCAUUUAAAGAAAGCGUAAUAGCUCACUGGUCGAGUCGGCCUGCGCGGAAGAUGUAACGGGGCUAAACCAUGCACCGAAGCUGCGGCAGCGACACUAUGUGUUGUUGGGUAGGGGAGCGUUCUGUAAGCCUGUGAAGGUGUACUGUGAGGUAUGCUGGAGGUAUCAGAAGUGCGAAUGCUGACAUAAGUAACGAUAAAGCGGGUGAAAAGCCCGCUCGCCGGAAGACCAAGGGUUCCUGUCCAACGUUAAUCGGGGCAGGGUGAGUCGACCCCUAAGGCGAGGCCGAAAGGCGUAGUCGAUGGGAAACAGGUUAAUAUUCCUGUACUUGGUGUUACUGCGAAGGGGGGACGGAGAAGGCUAUGUUGGCCGGGCGACGGUUGUCCCGGUUUAAGCGUGUAGGCUGGUUUUCCAGGCAAAUCCGGAAAAUCAAGGCUGAGGCGUGAUGACGAGGCACUACGGUGCUGAAGCAACAAAUGCCCUGCUUCCAGGAAAAGCCUCUAAGCAUCAGGUAACAUCAAAUCGUACCCCAAACCGACACAGGUGGUCAGGUAGAGAAUACCAAGGCGCUUGAGAGAACUCGGGUGAAGGAACUAGGCAAAAUGGUGCCGUAACUUCGGGAGAAGGCACGCUGAUAUGUAGGUGAAGCGACUUGCUCGUGGAGCUGAAAUCAGUCGAAGAUACCAGCUGGCUGCAACUGUUUAUUAAAAACACAGCACUGUGCAAACACGAAAGUGGACGUAUACGGUGUGACGCCUGCCCGGUGCCGGAAGGUUAAUUGAUGGGGUUAGCGGUAACGCGAAGCUCUUGAUCGAAGCCCCGGUAAACGGCGGCCGUAACUAUAACGGUCCUAAGGUAGCGAAAUUCCUUGUCGGGUAAGUUCCGACCUG